UUUCCGUAGGUGAACCUGCGAAAGGAUCAUUACUGAGUGAGGGCCCCUCGGGGUCCAACCUCCCACCCGUGUUUAACGAACCUUGUUGCUUCGGCGGGCCCGCCUCACGGCCGCCGGGGGGCAUCUGCCCCCGGGCCCGCGCCCGCCGAAGCCACCUGUGAACGCUGUCUGAAGUAUGCAGUCUGAGACAAUUAUUAAAUUAAUUAAAACUUUCAACAACGGAUCUCUUGGUUCCG
RNAcentral lists this unclassified non-coding RNA (236 nucleotides) under plant metagenome. RNAcentral describes it as "partial contains small subunit ribosomal RNA, internal transcribed spacer 1, and 5.8S ribosomal RNA". The record is from RNAcentral.